This 444-nucleotide ribosomal RNA is filed under the name uncultured bacterium. Its description in RNAcentral is "partial 16S ribosomal RNA". It matches the Rfam family "Bacterial small subunit ribosomal RNA", at positions 354 to 796 of the family's 1533-position model. The record is from RNAcentral.
GUAGGGAAUAUUGGGCAAUGGUCGGAAGACUGACCCAGCCAUGCCGCGUGCAGGAAGACGGCCCUCUGGGUUGUAAACUGCUUUUAUCUGGGAAGAAAAAGGCCAUGCGUGGAAAAUUGCCGGUACCAGAUGAAUAAGCACCGGAUAACUCCGUGCCAGCAGCCGCGGUAAUACGGAGGGUGCGAGCGUUGUCCGGAUUUAUUGGGUUUAAAGGGUGCGUAGGCGGCUGAUUAAGUCAGCGGUGAAAGACUUCGGCUUCACCGGAGCAGUGCCUUUGAUACUGGUUGGCUUGAGUGUCGGAGGGGUACAUGGAAGUGAUGGUGUAGCGGUGAAAUGCAUAGAUACCAUCAGGAACACCGAUAGCGAAGGCAUUGUACUGGCCGACAACUGACGCUGAUGCACGAAAGUGUGGGGAUCGAACAGGAUUAGAUACCCUGGUAGUCC